UGACGCUGGCGGCAGGCCUUACACAUGCAAGUCGAGCGGGAAAUUUUCUUCGGAAAAGAGUAAAGCGGCGGACGGGUGAGUAACGCGUAGGAAUCUACCUAGUAGUGGGGGACAACAUGUGGAAACGCAUGCUAAUACCGCAUACGCCCUAUGGGGGAAAGCAGGGGAUCUUCGGACCUUGUGCUAUUAGAUGAGCCUGCGUCGGAUUAGUUUGUUGGUAGGGUAAUGGCCUACCAAGACUACGAUCCGUAGCUGGUCUGAGAGGAUGAUCAGCCACACUGGGACUGAGACACGGCCCAGACUCCUACGGGAGGCAGCAGUGGGGAAUAUUGGACAAUGGGCGCAAGCCUGAUCCAGCCAUGCCGCGUGUGUGAAGAAGGCUCUAGGGUUGUAAAGCACUUUCAGUAGGGAGGAAAAGUUAGUAGUUAAUAACUGCUAGCCCUGACGUUACCUACAGAAGAAGCACCGGCAAACUCCGUGCCAGCAGCCGCGGUAAUACGGAGGGUGCGAGCGUUAAUCGGAAUUACUGGGCGUAAAGCGCGCGUAGGCGGUUUGAUAAGCUGGAUGUGAAAGCCCCGGGCUCAACCUGGGAACUGCAUCCAGAACUGUCUGACUAGAAUACAAUAGAGGUGAGUGGAAUUUCCUGUGUAGCGGUGAAAUGCGUAGAUAUAGGAAGGAACAUCAGUGGCGAAGGCGACUCACUGGAUUGAUAUUGACGCUAAGGUGCGAAAGCGUGGGGAGCGAACAGGAUUAGAUACCCUGGUAGUCCACGCCGUAAACGAUGUCUACUAGCCGUUGGGAUCCUUGAGGCCUUAGUGGCGCAGCUAACGCAAUAAGUAGACCGCCUGGGGAGUACGGCCGCAAGGUUAAACUCAAAUGAAUUGACGGGGGCCCGCAC
This 898-nucleotide ribosomal RNA is filed under the name uncultured Gammaproteobacteria bacterium. Its description in RNAcentral is "bacterial SSU rRNA". It matches the Rfam family "Bacterial small subunit ribosomal RNA", at positions 31 to 926 of the family's 1533-position model. Lineage: Bacteria; Pseudomonadati; Pseudomonadota; Gammaproteobacteria. The record is from RNAcentral.